Molecule: ribosomal RNA, 730 nt
Filed under: Miconia conorubiginosa
Lineage: Eukaryota; Viridiplantae; Streptophyta; Magnoliopsida; Myrtales; Melastomataceae
Description: eukaryotic LSU rRNA
Source: RNAcentral
GGAUCAUUGUCGAAAUCGAACGGAAGAACGACCCGCGAAUCGUCAUUGCGUAGUAGACAGAGCCCGUGAGCACCUAACGCUCAUGGGUCUCGCGUCGCGUCGGCGCGGGUGUACUCGAGACCCGCGUCGUACCGGCGGACAAACAACGUCAGCACGGAUCGUGCCAAGGAGCUGCAUGGAGAGAAUCGUCGUCCCACGCCCUCGAUAGUCCUCGACGCGGGACGGGGGAUGUACGCAAUCUCUACUCAAGUCUAAACGACUCUCGGCAACGGAUAUCUCGGCUCUUGCAUCGAUGAARAACGUAGCGAAAUGCGAUWACUUGGUGUGAAUUGCAGAAUCCCGUGAACCAUCAAUUCUUUGAACGCAAGUUGCGCCCGAAGCCAUUCGGCCGAGGGCACGCCUGCCUGGGCGUCGUGAAUCCCCUUGCCCCUAGGCACCCGCAUGAGCAUUGGCGGGGAUAUAUGCUCGGGCGCAGAAUAUGGCCUCCCGUGGGAUCGGCAUGCGCGGCAUGUCGAGGUGCGGUUGGCCGAAAAUCGAGCAUGGCGGUGACGGGCACCACGGCGUUCGGUGGAUCGAACGAGAUUGGCUGCGUCGUGGGCUCGGCAUGCGGCGGGCUCCGGACUUUGAAUAUCCCCGAGUGCGAUCCCAGGUCAGGCGGGGCUACCCGCUGAGUUUAAGCAUAUCAAUAAGCGGAGGAAAAGAAACUAACGAGGAUUCCCUUAGUAGCGGC